UAGGGAAUAUUAGUAAUGGGCGAAAGCCUGAACUAGCAACACCGCGUGUGCGAAGAAGGCCUUCGGGUUGUAAAGCACUUUUUGAGAGGAUGAGGAAGGACGGUACUUCCAGAAUAAGUCUCGGCUAACUACGUGCCAGCAGCCGCGGUAACACGUAGGAGGCGAACGUUAUCCGGAUUUACUGGGCGUAAAGCGCGUGUAGGUGGUUCUGUAAGUAGGGCGUGAAAGCUCCUGGCUCAACUGGGAGAGGCCGUUCUAAACUACAGAACUAGAGGAUGGUAGAGGGAGGUGGAAUUCCAGGUGUAGCGGUGGAAUGCGCAGAUAUCUGGAGGAACACCAGUGGCGAAGGCGGCCUCCUGGACCAUUCCUGACACUCAGACGCGAAAGCUAGGGUAGCAAACG
This 402-nucleotide ribosomal RNA is filed under the name uncultured prokaryote. Its description in RNAcentral is "bacterial SSU rRNA". It matches the Rfam family "Bacterial small subunit ribosomal RNA", at positions 355 to 774 of the family's 1533-position model. The record is from RNAcentral.